This 253-nucleotide ribosomal RNA is filed under the name uncultured bacterium. Its description in RNAcentral is "partial 16S ribosomal RNA". It matches the Rfam family "Bacterial small subunit ribosomal RNA", at positions 524 to 776 of the family's 1533-position model. The record is from RNAcentral.
GACGAACCGUGCGACCGUUGUUCGGAAUCACUGGGCUUAAAGGGCGCGUAGGCGGGCGAUCAAGUCAGGGGUGAAAUCCUCCGGCUCAACCGGAGAACUGCCUUUGAUACUGGUCAUCUCGAGUGAGGUAGGGGCAUGCGGAACUGAUGGUGGAGCGGUGAAAUGUGUUGAUAUCAUCAGGAACUCCGGUGGCGAAAGCGGCGUGCGGGACCUUUACUGACGCUGAUACGCGAAAGCCAGGGGAGCGAACGGG